AUCAAGCUGUUGCAGUUUCAUGAGCAGGAGCAGGGGUCCAAGGGCUCUCCUAACUGCUGCUUGACAACUUUGGCGUCUGAGCACUGGUCCAUGCGCUGGACUGCUCCUGUGGGGAAGGAGAGCUGACUCCAAGAGGAUCAAACACACCUGAGGUCUCCCCAAGGAUGCUGCUCCACAGGGCAACUGUCCUGUCCAAGGAGGCAGAGCAGGGUCUGUUUUCACUGUUUGUUUAGGGUUCAUUUYGUUCACAAGAAGCCUCCUCUUUUAUACCAGAGCUGCUUUUGUGGCAGGCUCAAGAGACACGCUGAAGAUGGAGGAAUGGCAGGACUCAAUCACUUUCUCCUUUGACAGUCUCCCCCUGUAAUAGUCCAUUUUCUAUCCCUGAUCACACAGCUUUUUGCUCACCUCACAGUCUUCAAUGCAGUGGCCAGGAGGGGGUGACAGGAUGUCCCASAGCCUGUCAUUUAAGCAACAAUAUGACUCUCCUUGGUCCAUAAGRAGAGGGCUCUGAUCUGGGCAUCCUGGCUUGCCCUUGGGGAACAUCGUGCCACACCUGAAUGUCACAGCUCAGGACCUUUGGUUCCCUUUUUAUUUGAGCGCAGCAGUCAGACUGCCCAUGGCUCUCCAGCAGAGCUGCCUCUGCUGCGCAAGCAGGCACACGGCUGGUGAGGACACGAUGCAGAACUAACCCAUCGUGUGCUCAAACUCAUCCAGGUGUGUCUUUUUAGCCAGCCGCCAGCAAUGCCAGAGAGGUCCCAGAAGGAYGAGAAAGCUGAGAGCAAACACACUYCUGAAGAACAACCUCRAACUGUUAAUGAAGGUCACAACAGAGCACAAAAGGAGGUACGGUACCUGCCUACCCCGUGGGACCGAAAAAACCGCUGGGCAACCUGGGACGAAGACAGGCGCCAGAGAGAAAGAGCAGACCUGGCAGCCAUGCUAGCUAGGAGAGAGAAGGAAGAGCAGCGGAUGGCCAAGUUGAAACCUCUUUUAGAAAAAGUGGUUCCAGAGGAAGAAUAUGGCUAUACUCCAGGGGUGGCUGAUCUCAAAAGAUGGAGGAAGCUUUUACAGAGCACAGAACAUUUGAAACCCCACUCUCUUGGGGAGAGYACGCCCACCCCCAUCAAGAGAAAGGCAUAUGACGAAGGGCUGAAGGAGAAGAUUAAGCAGAAGGGGGAAAAGGAUGAGAAUCCUAAAUCCACAGAGAAGCAGAAAGAACCAAACCUGCUGAAGUUACUGCCAGAGGACAUUUUGGAGAUGGUCCAGCUACAAGACUGGGUGGUGAAAGGUMUCAGGACGGCGAGCCGUGCAAAUGAGAUAUGAACAACCCUGGAGCGUCCGAUGCCCUGUCAGACUCUACAUACGCCUCCAGAUCCUGGCACAGUCUGGAUAAACUUCCACCCUUUUUUUUUCCUUUGCAAGGACAUUAAUUCUUUGACUCUCUAACUGCAGUCACGUGCCUCCAAGUCUGUUGAUCAUCAUCCAAUGACAAUUAAUCUUUGCAAUGGAGUUCCUCAGGAUUUCUGUGAUAAUUUUCUUGAAUUCAAUCACAUUAUCCAAUGGUGUGAGUCUUUCCUUGAGGGAGUGUAAAUUCAGCAGCGAGYGAGCUCACUGCUGAGUCAGGGGCAGGGAAAAGACAGCCAGCAGAUGGGCUUAUGCUUCUGUCCCUGCUCCUAGGGCAGCCCUCUCCCAAGAUACACGGCACACGUCGUCUGUGUGCCCGCCUUGCCAUAUCUAUGUCUGUCUACCCACCCACAUGUCAGCCUGCUUACCCCUCUGCCCUAUCACCCGCUCCUCCGCCCCUUCUCUCCCUGCCUACCUCCCCAUGCACCUGCCUAUCCAUCCACUUCCCUAGGUACCCACUCGCCUAUCUACCUGCUUAAUUCUCUACCUGCCUACAUACCUGUCUCCCUCAAAGUGCCCAACUGCCUGUCUCCCCCUACAGACACACAGCUCUCUGGAUAAGCUUUAUUUAUCUGUAUAGCUAGAACUUCCUCUCCCYAUAGAUCUAUGUCUUUAUCAUGGCAUAUAUGAGCUCCCUGGUACCCUACAUCCAACCCGGUCCGGCUGUAGGUACUGUACUUAGAUCAGAUAGCUGAAACAACAUCUUUGAUGUUGUACAGCCCCACCUCUGGCUGUCCUUUCCCAGGUAGGGACAGACACUCUUUAUCCCCAGAGAAAGUUGGAGGAGCUGCUGCUUUCCCCGUUCCCUCCUUGAAAAACAACCUACCAGCAAUGGAGCCUGCCUUCCUCCUCUCUCUGCCUUCUGGAAAUAGGGUUGGGUCUGUAACGCGGCUGUGGGGUAAAGCAGGGCUCUUCUUUG
Molecule: long non-coding RNA, 2323 nt
Filed under: Dromaius novaehollandiae (emu)
Lineage: Eukaryota; Metazoa; Chordata; Aves; Casuariiformes; Dromaiidae
Description: lncRNA (ENSDNVG00000008041.1)
Source: RNAcentral